RNAcentral lists this transfer RNA (69 nucleotides) under Scrobicularia plana. RNAcentral's name for it is "tRNA-Val". The record is from RNAcentral. Lineage: Eukaryota; Metazoa; Mollusca; Bivalvia; Cardiida; Scrobiculariidae.
UAGGACGUAGUAUAAUUUAUUAUACCUCAUUUACACUGAGGUGGUGGUAAUUAUGGUUGCCCGUUCUAA